GCUUCAAGCGCCAAAGCUCAGCCCGAAGAACGAGACGCGAUCAUGUGCAUGAUUGCAGGCAGCUACCGAAUUUCUCAUGAAGGCAGAAUUUGUUUACCGAUUUGAAGUACAUGAUAUGAAUACAUCACAUUGUAAUAUGGCCUUCAAUUACUGAAUUCCCUCUCUCUAGAUGUCUUUGGCAGAAGAACACAAGGACCUUUGAAUGUCUCUGCUGCACGUUAAUGGAAUCUGAACUACAUUAAAGGUUGUGAAACCGAGAACAGCAUCAAACUUUAUUUAAUGGAUUUAUGUAAUGCUAGGGGGCAGUUUUACUGAUGCACAGACAAUGGCCUGUGAUUGUAUUCAUUUAUAAUACUAUGCAUGAUAAAAAGUCAACAUUAGGGGAAAAGAGUUUAGUUUAAAAUGCCAUGAGAUACUGCAGAAUUAUUUGUGCAACAGAACCAUAGAGAGGACUGGAUUACUGUGAUUUAUUCACUUUUUUAUUCAAGCCACUAAUCAGCUACGGUGCUAUAUACUGUAAAAACCACCAGACAAGGUCACAGGGGAUUAAAAUGAGGCAGAACCACAUGCAAAUGCUUACAUUGUUUGCUGUUACUAUUAAAAUAUCACAGGUUCACAGGUUUAAUAGCUGAUUACGAGAGAGAGAGAGAGAGAGAGAG
Molecule: non-coding RNA, 659 nt
Organism: Paramisgurnus dabryanus
Lineage: Eukaryota; Metazoa; Chordata; Actinopteri; Cypriniformes; Cobitidae
Source: RefSeq, a predicted model, not a curated record